Molecule: ribosomal RNA, 714 nt
Filed under: uncultured bacterium
Lineage: Bacteria
Description: bacterial SSU rRNA
Rfam family: Bacterial small subunit ribosomal RNA
Source: RNAcentral
GAUGAACGCUAGCUACAGGCUUAACACAUGCAAGUCGAGGGACCGGCGCACGGGUGAGUAACACGUAUCCAACCUGCCCCUUACUCGGGGAUAGCCUUUCGAAAGAAAGAUUAAUACCCGAUAUAAAGGAUGGGGAUGCGUUCCAUUAGGUUGUUGGUGAGGUAACGGCUCACCAAGCCUUCGAUGGAUAGGGGUUCUGAGAGGAAGGUCCCCCACAUUGGAACUGAGACACGGUCCAAACUCCUACGGGAGGCAGCAGUGAGGAAUAUUGGUCAAUGGGCGCUAGCCUGAACCAGCCAAGUAGCGUGAAGGAUGGAGGCUUAUGGGUCGUAAACUUCUUUUAUAUAAGAAUAUGUAUUAUAUGAAUAAGGAUCGGCUAACUCCGUGCCAGCAGCCGCGGUAAUACGGAGGAUCCGAGCGUUAUCCGGAUUUAUUGGGUUUAAAGGGAGCGUAGGUGGACUGGUAAGUCAGUUGUGAAAGUUUGCGGCUCAACCGUAAAAUUGCAGUUGAUACUGUCAGUCUUGAGUACAGUAGAGGUGGGCGGAAUUCGUGGUGUAGCGGUGAAAUGCUUAGAUAUCACGAAGAACUCCGAUUGCGAAGGCAGCUCACUGGACUGCAACUGACACUGAUGCUCGAAAGUGUGGGUAUCAAACAGGAUUAGAUACCCUGGUAGUCCACACAGUAAACGAUGAAUACUCGCUGUUUGCAAGGGCC